GAUGAACGCUGGCGGCGUGCCUAAUACAUGCAAGUCGAGCGAACGGACGAGAAGCUUGCUUCUCUGAUGUUAGCGGCGGACGGGUGAGUAACACGUGGAUAACCUACCUAUAAGACUGGGAUAACUUCGUUAAACCGUAGCUAAUACCGGAUAAUAUUUUUAACCGCAUGGUUCAAAAGUGAAAGACGGUCUUGCUGUCACUUAUAGAUGGAUCCGCGCUGCAUUAGCUAGUUGGUAAGGUAACGGCUUACCAAGGCAACGAUGCAUAGCCGACCUGAGAGGGUGAUCGGCCACAAUGGAACUGAGACACGGUCCAGACUCCUACGGGAGGCAGCAGUAGGGAAUCUUCCGCAAUGGGCGAAAGCCUGACGGAGAAACGCCGCGUGAGUGAUGAAGGUCUUCGGAUCGUAAAACUCUGUUAUUAGGGAAGAACAUAUGUGUAAGUAACUGUGCACAUCUUGACGGUACCUAAUCAGAAAGCCACGGCUAACUACGUG
This 497-nucleotide ribosomal RNA is filed under the name uncultured bacterium. Its description in RNAcentral is "partial 16S ribosomal RNA". It matches the Rfam family "Bacterial small subunit ribosomal RNA", at positions 28 to 507 of the family's 1533-position model. The record is from RNAcentral.